RNAcentral lists this ribosomal RNA (243 nucleotides) under uncultured Pseudarthrobacter sp. RNAcentral's name for it is "partial 16S ribosomal RNA". It matches the Rfam family "Bacterial small subunit ribosomal RNA", at positions 552 to 790 of the family's 1533-position model. The record is from RNAcentral. Lineage: Bacteria; Bacillati; Actinomycetota; Actinomycetes; Micrococcales; Micrococcaceae.
GGAAUAUUGGACGUAAAGAGCUCGUAGGCGGUUUGUCGCGUCUGCCGUGAAAGUCCGGGGCUCAACUCCGGAUCUGCGGUGGGUACGGGCAGACUAGAGUGAUGUAGGGGAGACUGGAAUUCCUGGUGUAGCGGUGAAAUGCGCAGAUAUCAGGAGGAACACCGAUGGCGAAGGCAGGUCUCUGGGCAUUAACUGACGCUGAGGAGCGAAAGCAUGGGGAGCGAACAGGAUUAGAUACCCUGG